CCACAAGGGGUGCAUCAUGUGCAAUAAUUCGAUGCAACGCGAACAACCUUACCUAUUCUUGACAUCGUGGGAACUUGGUAGAGAUACCUUGGUGCUUUCGGGAACGCACACACAGGUGGUGCAUGGCCGUCGUCAGUUUGUGUUGUGAAAUGUUGGGUUAAGUCCCGUAACGAGCGCAACCCCUAUCCCUAUUUGCCAGCGAUUCGGUCGGGAACUCUAGGGAGACUGCCGGUGACAAACCGGAGGAAGGUGGGGAUGACGUCAGGUCAUCAUGGCCCUUACGAGUAGGGCUACACACGUGCUACAAUGGCCGGUACAAAGGGUUGCGAAGCCGCGAGGUGGUGCUAAUCCCGAAAAGCCGGUCUCAGUCCGGAUCGGAGUCUGCAACUCGACUCCGUGAAGUCGGAAUCGCUAGUAAUCGUGAAUCAGAAUGUCACGGUGAAUACGUUCCCGGGCCUUGUACACACCGCCCGUCACACCAUGGGAGUGGACUGCACCAGAAGUGGUUAGCUUAACCUUCGGGAGAGCGAUC
RNAcentral lists this ribosomal RNA (532 nucleotides) under Halomonas sp. RNAcentral's name for it is "bacterial SSU rRNA". It matches the Rfam family "Bacterial small subunit ribosomal RNA", at positions 923 to 1455 of the family's 1533-position model. Lineage: Bacteria; Pseudomonadati; Pseudomonadota; Gammaproteobacteria; Oceanospirillales; Halomonadaceae. The record is from RNAcentral.